AACGGGUGCUUAACACGUGGGCAAUCUGUCUUAAAGUGGGGGAUAGCUCGGCGAAAGCCGAAUUAAUACCGCAUGUGAUUAGAGUGGACAUCCAUUCGAAAUUAAAGUCGGGGCAACCUGACGCUUUUUGAGGAGCCCGCGGCCUAUCAGCUUGUUGGUGAGGUAACGGCUCACCAAGGCUUUGACGGGUAGCUGGUCUGAGAGGACGACCAGCCACACUGGGACUGAGACACGGCCCAGACACCUACGGGUGGCAGCAGUCGAGAAUUUUUCUCAAUGGGGGAAACCCUGAAGGAGCGACGCCGCGUGGAGGAUGAAGGUCUUCGGAUUGUAAACUCCUGUCAUUGGGGAACAAGUCGCUUACGUUAACUGCGUGAGCGUUGAUAGUACCCGAAGAGGAAGAGACGGCUAACUCUGUGCCAGCAGCCGCGGUAAUACAGAGGUCUCAAGCGUUGUUCGGAUUCAUUGGGCGUAAAGGGUGCGUAGGCGGCGCGGUAAGUCGGGUGUGAAAUCUUGGAGCUUAACUCCGAAACUGCAUUCGAUACUGCCGUGCUUGAGGACUGGAGAGGAGACUGGAAUUUACGG
Molecule: ribosomal RNA, 585 nt
Filed under: uncultured Verrucomicrobiota bacterium
Lineage: Bacteria; Pseudomonadati; Verrucomicrobiota
Description: bacterial SSU rRNA
Rfam family: Bacterial small subunit ribosomal RNA
Source: RNAcentral